This 253-nucleotide ribosomal RNA is filed under the name uncultured bacterium. RNAcentral's name for it is "partial 16S ribosomal RNA". It matches the Rfam family "Bacterial small subunit ribosomal RNA", at positions 524 to 776 of the family's 1533-position model. The record is from RNAcentral.
UACGUAGGGUGCAAGCGUUGUCCGGAAUUAUUGGGCGUAAAGAGCUCGUAGGCGGUCUGUUGCGUCGGCUGUGAAAAUCCGGGGCUCAACCCCGGACUUGCGGUGGGUACGGGCAGACUAGAGUGUGGUAGGGGAGACUGGAAUUCCUGGUGUAGCGGUGAAAUGCGCAGAUAUCAGGAGGAACACCGAUGGCGAAGGCAGGUCUCUGGGCCACUACUGACGCUGAGAAGCGAAAGCGUGGGGAGCGAACAGG